This 13710-nucleotide long non-coding RNA is filed under the name Amborella trichopoda. Its description in RNAcentral is "long non-coding RNA (ATRI_LNC003858)". The record is from RNAcentral. Lineage: Eukaryota; Viridiplantae; Streptophyta; Magnoliopsida; Amborellales; Amborellaceae.
UCUCUCUCUCUCUCUCUCUCUCUACUUGCUGAUACCCAUCCCAUUCCCUUAUGAGUUGUGACCUGUCUUGGCUGCAUUGGUGGGUCCAUACUCUUUCUCAUUCUGUGGCUCUCUCUCUCUCUCUCUUUCCACAUGCACAUACUCCUUUCUCUUGUCCAAAUUUGUAGUGUACUUUUUGGUUUGGCCUCUCCUCUGGCCUUAUAUUUUUUCUUUUCUGGUUGGACUCUCUCUCUCUCUCUCUCUGGAUGUGCCUUUCUCUAUCUAAAAUUUGUAGUGGGCAUUGUCUGGAGUUGUUGCUCUCUCUUCUUAUUGUUAUCAAUGUUAUGUAGCAGGCUUUGCUUUGUCUUCAUGCUUGAGGCCUUCUGCGACUUUCUCUCUCUCUCUCUAAGGUUGCAACCUUAAACAAUCCAAUUAAGGCCUACUGCUGCUCUCUCCCUAUAAGAUUGCAAUAUUAAACAAUCCAAUUAAGGCACGCAUCCAAAUUUUAUCAUAACAUGUAAUUUUGAUCUAAAAAAUUAUUAGGAUUAUUUAAAAAUCCAUUUUUAUGUCUAAUUAUAAAAAAUUAAACUUGAAAAAUGGUUUAAAUCAAGUGGAUUUAUAAAUAUAUGAAAAUUUUGAAAAUUGACGUUCUAGAUAAUGUGUUGUAAGAUACAUUAUUUUUGAGACUCAAAAUCUUUUUGUUUUUCAUAGUCAUAUAUCUUGACAUAUGUCUUGAUGAUGUUGAGAUGAGAGGGUUUUUUAAUAUUAAAAUAACUUUUUUCAUUGGAUUUUAGAUGUGCAUAUGUAAUUAUAAGGUUGCAACCUUAGAAUUAGGUCUGUGUUUGAUAGGUAGGAGCAGAGUUUGAAAACUCGUCGAGUCGAGCCGGAUUCGUUAGGUUCGACUCGGGAAUCGUCUGCAAUCGAGUUGGUUUCAUAAAAAAAUAGGGAAUCGCUCGUGUCUAGAGGGAACCGCGCGAUUCCCAAUAGUGAAUCACGUGUCUUACAUGUGGCCGUCGCCCGUGUCCAGAGGGAACUGCACGAUUCUCAAUAGUGAAUCGUGAGUCUUAUACGUGGCCGCCUCACAGGAGCAAUACGUGGCAAAAUCGGGAAUCGCCCGUGUCUAGAGGGAACAGUUGGAAUCGCCCGUGUUUAGAGGGAACCAUGCGAUUCCCAAUAGUGAAUUGCGAGUCUUACACGUGGCCGUCGUCUGUGUUCAGAGGGAACCAUGCGAUGCGAUUCUCAAUAGUGAAUCGCGAGUCUUACACGUGGUUGCCUCACGGGACCAACACGUGGCACCUAAAAAUCCUCCACACGUGGUAACUCACAUCACAUGUCGGCCCCAUCGCUUUUCUACACGCGCAAUACAACAUCUAUUACACAGGAAUUUAUAGAAAACAAAGCAACGCUCAUCCUUCGAUAUGAGAUAAUUCCUACAAAAAGUCAUUAAAGCAAGAAGAUUGAAUAUAUUAUUAAAGAAACUAAUAAAAUCCCAUUAAGCAACGUGGCGGCGUUGGUUGACAUCUUCGAUUUUUCGGUAGACGUCUAGAGUUCGAACCCCUUAGCGCGCGUCCUCGUUUAUAUUUUUGUUGUCAAAAAAAUAAACAAAGGCAGAAAAUACUGUUGUAAAAAAAUAGAAAAAAUAAAAAAUAAAAGACUUUUCAAGAUACAGAUAAAAAAGAUAAUACAACAUUUUUUUUAUUUUUUUUGUAAAAAAAAUACAAAGUAAUAUAACAAGUAUUUCUCGCAAAAAAUAAAACAAAAGGCAUAAAAAAAUAAAAUGUAUUUUGGCUGCAUCAUUUUUUAUUUUUCUUGUAAAACAAAAUAAAAAGUAAUACAGCAAGCAAAAAAAAAAUGUAGUACAAUAUCUUCUUCUUUUGUCAAAAAAAAAAGAAGAAGAUAAUCAACAAGUAUCAUAUUUUUCUUGUAAAAAGAAAUAAAAGAUAAGACAAAAAGUAUUUCUUGUCAAAAAAGUUAAAGGUAUUUCUUAGUACAACCUAGGAAUAAAUGGUCUAAUUAUAUUUUUUAUUUUUAUAACAUGAUGGUUUUUAACAUAAAUUUAGUAAUAUUAAUUUAAAGAUAGGAUUCAUAUAAUGAGGCCAUUUGAACUCUCUCUGUUUCUACUACCAAUCUCUGCCACUUAUUUAUUCUAGAAACCUAAAAAAUUUAAAAAAAUUGGUACGCAUGAUAAUAAUUUAUACAUUGAUAACCAAAUCUUUUAUUUUAUUUAUUAAUUUUGUAUUAUAAAUCAUGUAAUGUACUAUUUUUAUUAUAGUUGUCAAUAAAACAUUUUAAAUUAGAUGAUAUUAUAAAAUAUUUUGGAUUUGUUAUUAUUUAUAUAAUAAAAUAAUUAUAAAAUAUUUGUGGUAUAUAAUAAUAUAGUUAGUUAGGUUGUAAUAAUUUGGGUUUUUUUAGCGGAUUAGGGUUUUCCGUCAAUUCGAGAUUUUAGUGGCCAAUUUUUCAUCGAUUUAGUCAACUCUUUAUUGUAGUCCGUAUAUGACUAUAUAUUUAUUCCAUGAUAAUUUUGUGAUUUCUUUUGUGUGAUGUAAAUUUAAUGGUCAACAUAAGUUAAUACAAGGAAAGAACAUCUCAAUAUUCAUAAAUUGAUGAAAACAAUGAAAGUUAAUAAUAUAGUACCCCAAUUUCUUAUUGGAUUUCUAAAAAACAACAUUUAUAAUGAAUUUUAAUAAUUUUUUUGAAUUUUUUUAAGGCUUAAUCCGAACAUUUUGGCCCGAUUUUCGAUUCAAAUCGUCAAUUUACCGAUCCAAAAUCGAUUUUUGGGAUGUUCGUUCCGAGUCACCAAUCCAUUUUUUAAACCAGUGGGUAGAAGGAUUAAAUCAUUUUGACUCUCUCUCUCAAUAUGUGCGUGAGGAAAGUAAAGCACUUCUGAGUUUUCACUCUCUCUAUUUGAAAAUUUGACUUUUGGACACCAAGCAAGGCAACGCCGCCUUGUCACAUUCGUUGCAGAGCGCCUAUGCUCUUGGGAGCACACUAUGUAUUUACUCCCUUUAACAAAAAAGUCUUAUUUUUUUCAAUGAAAUUUUGGGUUAACUUAAAAAGCCUAACACAAAUAGUUAGAAAUAAAGAUCUGAUGAUGAAGAAUAAAUAAGGGAUUAUUUUUAAAAGAAAAUAUUUUGGAUAUUCAGUUUUUAACAUUAGAUCUUACUUUUAGAGAUUUAGAAAAUUGUUUCAUGCGGAUUGGACUGCAUUUCUACAAAUGCGGUCCAGAAAGUGUAAAGAAUCCAUCUUAAAGAUGGAGGCAAGUAGGUGUUCCACCUAAAAACAAUAGAAAUUAACGGUCCAAAUGUUUUCUUAUUAGAAUUAUUAUUUUUAGUUUUUAAAAUUUAUUUAUUUUUUCAUAUUCAUGGUCUCCAUGUUAGAGAUUACAUGUACUUAAAAAUUAAGUCUUAAAAUCCAUCUCAAAAAUAGAUUUAUUAAGAAGCCCGUAUUUGUUCAUAUGCAGGCUUGGGCUUCGUUGCAUAGAAACAAGAUCUUUUUAGACAUUAGACAAAUUUUGUUUUAUUAUUUUUUGUUAAUUUUAUGUCUUACUCUAUAUAGUUAAGAUAAGGUUUGGAUGAUAAUGAUGAUUUUUCAUAUAUAAUAUAAAUCGUUCCUUUUCUUCUUUUUUUUCCGAAGUAAGUUGCUAGGUUGAAAAGGUCACGUCCUAAAAAUUUGGAUUUCUCACAGUUCUAGGUUUUUCCCGAAGGAUUACAAAGAUGUUAUUCUGAUAUGGGAGCACAAAAUCUUUUGGUUUACUCGUAGACUUCAAUUUUUUUUCAGAUUUUAAUGUUGGAUAAAAUGUGAAGUUUGUAUACCAAACGAUAAUGGAAAUGUUGCAGAGUGAUGAUUUUGUCAUGAACCACUUCUUUGAUAUUCAGGGGUGCAUUCAAUACUUCUGCCACUAGGAUUCUACGUUGUGCCUGCAUAGGCAAUUUUGAAGGUGAGAUUGAGGGGUAGAUGGAUACUUUCUCGAUAUCGUAGUAGUGUGAAACUUAAUUUUGAUGGGAGUUUGGAAUCCAAGACAAUAGGAAUUGGAGGGAUAAUUUUUAACUCAAAAGGACAUGGAUAUUUUAUUUACUCAGUGCCAUGUAGCGAGGCUAUAGCUAAUAUGUAAUGGAAAUGUCCGGAUGAUAAAAAGGCCAAUUCAUCUCGACAUUGAAAUUAUUGAGAGAGAGAUGUGAUGAUUUUUAUUGGAUGAUAGAAGGGAAUUUUUUAAAUGUGAUCAAUUGAUACAGUAAUGCUGGAGGACAGCUUGAGGGUUGCUUGGAUGGAAAUCUUGGACCAAGUACUGAUAUCUUAAUAAGCAAUGCAAUUAAUGGAAAAAAAAAAAAAGAAAAAGAAAAAGAAUUAUAUUAAAACCUAAAAUAAAAUAGCCUAUAAUCAUACCAUUAGUCACAAUUGACGAAUCAAAGUAAAUACUCAAAUAAAAAUAAUAUAAUAAUCAUACAAUAAAUAACAUUAAAAAAUAUUUAAUAAAUAAAAUAAUCAUCAGACUCGAACCAAUUAAUGGCGAAUAAAUGGCCUGUAACAAAGCUUCUAAGCUUACACUUCCUAUCCUUUGUGAACAAAGUCCUAUACCUUUGUUUAAUAAAAUUAUCCAACAAUAAAACUAUCCUUCGUGUCCUACUUUAAUCUUUGCGGUUUCUAUAAGUUUGCAACCUUAAACAAUCCAAUUAAAUUAAGACGACAUGUAAUUUUCAUGUAAAAAAUUAUUAGGAUAAUCUGAGAAUCUAUUUUCAUAUCUAAUUAUAAAAUUUUAAAUUUAAAAAAUGGUUAAAAUCAAGUAGAUCUAUAAACAUAUGAAAAAUUUGAAAAUGGAUGGUCUAGAUAAUGUGUUGCAAGAUGCGCUAUUUCUGGAACUCAAAAUAUAUAUAUAUUUUUUCAUAUUUAUAUAUCUCAAUGUCGAGAUGAUCAAUUAGAGGUUUUUCAACAUUAAAACUAAAGUGCAUCUAUAAUUCUACAUUUUAUGGUUGCAUCCUUAUAUAAACUUUUUCCAAAGACUAACGGACUCUCUAUAAUCAAUAAUACUAAUACUAAUAAUAAUAAUAAUAAUAAUAAUAAUAAUAAUAAUAAUAAUAAUAAUAAUAAUNNNNNNNNNNNNNNNNNNNNNNNNNNNNNNNNNNNNNNNNNNNNNNNNNNNNNNNNNNNNNNNNNNNNNNNNNNNNNNNNNNNNNNNNNNNNNNNNNNNNNNNNNNNNNNNNNNNNNNNNNNNNNNNNNNNNNNNNNNNNNNNNNNNNNNNNNNNNNNNNNNNNNNNNNNNNNNNNNNNNNNNNNNNNNNNNNNNNNNNNNNNNNNNNNNNNNNNNNNNNNNNNNNNNNNNNNNNNNNNNNNNNNNNNNNNNNNNNNNNNNNNNNNNNNNNNNNNNNNNNNNNNNNNNNNNNNNNNNNNNNNNNNNNNNNNNNNNNNNNNNNNNNNNNNNNNNNNNNNNNNNNNNNNNNNNNNNNNNNNNNNNNNNNNNNNNNNNNNNNNNNNNNNNNNNNNNNNNNNNNNNNNNNNNNNNNNNNNNNNNNNNNNNNNNNNNNNNNNNNNNNNNNNNNNNNNNNNNNNNNNNNNNNNNNNNNNNNNNNNNNNNNNNNNNNNNNNNNNNNNNNNNNNNNNAUAAUAAUAAUAAUAAUAAUAGUUAUAGGACUCUUCACAAACAUCAUUGGUACAAAAAGAUUUAAUAUUAAUUAUUCCCAAAACAUUGAAAUCUCUAUUAUAAUAUGAAAAAAAUUUAUAUAACGAUGCUACCUUAUAAUGUAGAACUAUGGAUGCCCCUAAAAAAUCCAUCGGAAAAGGUAGUUUUAAUGUUAAAAAACCCUUUGAUUGAUCAUCUCGACAUCGAGAUGUAUGACUAUGGAAAAUAAAAAGUUUUUAAGUCUCAGAAGUAGUGCAUUUUACAACAUAUUAUCUACACUGUCCAUUUUCAAGAUUUUCAUAUGUUUAUAGACCUAUUUGAUUUUAACCAUUUUUGAAAUGUUAAAUUUUAUAAUUAGAUAUAAAAAUAGAUUUUGAGAUAAUCAUAAAAAUAUUUUACAUCGAAAUUAUAUACCAUGAUAAAAUUUGAAGGUGCAUCUUACCUCUACACCUACAUAUGCCGUAUGCCAACUGCACCCUUAUAAUAUUGAGAAAACAUAAUAUAACUUAAUAAGAUUAUAUACAAGGGUGCACUUGGCAUACAGGUGCAUCCGUACCUGUAGAGGUAAGGUGCACCUUCAAAUUUUAUCAUAGUAUAUAAUUUUGAUGCAAAAUGUUAUUAGGAUUAUCUCAAAAUCUAUUUUUAUAUCUAAUUAUAAAAUUUUAAAUUUAAAAAAUGGUUAAAAUCAAGUAGAUCUAUAAACAUAUGAAAAUCUUGAAAAUGGACGGUGUAGAUAAUAUGUUGUAAAAUGCACUAUUUCUGAGUCUUAAAAUCUUUUUAUUUUUCUUGGUCAUACAGCUAGAUGUCGGGAUGAUCAAUCAAAGGGUUUUUCAACAUUAAAAUUACCUUUUCUGAUAGAUUUUUGAGGUGCAUCCAUAGUUCUACAUUAUAACGUUGCAUCCUUAUAUAAACUUUUUUCUAUAUACUAUGAGAUCAUUUACCUUUAGUAUAAGGAGGUUACAAUUAUUUAUAACCAUUCGAUAUGAAAUUUGAUAGCUUGGAUGUAUUGCAAAGUUUGAAAAAAAUUCUUUUGAACUUUGAGUUUGGUCAAUAGAAUAAAUGUAGCCACCUAAUUUCACAUACGAUAGUCUUGGAUUAAACAAAAGAUAAAUGGUUUUAUUGUAUAUUUUAUCUAAAUUAAUCAUAUAAAUGCACCUUACAUGGAAAGAUGAUAACCCUUUUUAGAAGAAUGGUUCAAGUAUACUCUAGGUAAAAAAUAACAUAUAAGAAAAUUUUCAUGAAAAAUGGUAUUUCUAAAUAAGAAACGCCACAUUUUCACGUCGAAAUAUGUCUUAAGACAUAAACAUGGUAGUGGAUAGUCAUUGGCUCUGUCGUAUCGUUUUUUAGAAGCUUUGACACAUACGUUGGUGUCAUACAAGUGUCCACACAUGAUCAGACCCUGAGAUGUAUAAGACCAGAUUUGAGUCAUUGGAAAACAAUAAAAAUGUACAUUAAGGGAACCAAUGGUUUAAAAAGCGGAUCGGUGACCAAGAUCGGGCACCUCAAAAACAGAUUUGGAUCGGCGAAUCGGCGAUCUGGAUUGGGAAUCGGUCAGAAUAAAGCUUCAAAAAAAUCCGAAAAAAUUAUUAAAAUUCAUGAUAAAUAUUGUUUUUUAGGAAUUCAAUAAGAAAUGAGGGUACCCCAUUAAGAAUUUUCAUGUUUUUGCAUGAAUAUGCGAAUAUUGAUAUGUUCUUUCCCUGCAUGAACUACUAUUCAGCAUUUAAUUUACAUCACACAAAAGGAUAAACAUAGAAUUAUCAUGGAAUAAGUAUAUCAACAUACAUGGACUACAAUAAAGCAUACAAUUAGUAACAGACGAUCUAAAAAUAAAAUGACAGACGACGUUGUUGUUCUUCUUGGUCACGCUGGUGCCAUUGAUUGAAUUCGUUUGACAAUUCAUUGAUUAGAUCUAAAAACGAAUCAUCGAUAUUAGCAGGCGUCUGAUGAUACCCAAAUCCCCGAGUGUUAGUGUUUUGUUGUGUUCCCAAUCCAAAAUCCCCGAAGCUUGUCCAUCCCUCAUGCACAGCUACACUGUCGUGCUCAUCUCUACACUGUUGCUGUUAGGACUCGAUAUGUGAAUAAUAUGGCGGGGAUAAGGUGGCCUCAGAAUCAUCGUCUCUCUCAUUUUCUCUUAGACCCCUUUCCCACUCUCUGUCAUUAGGUGCAAUAUCACCGACAUCUCCGACGAAUUGUGGAUACAUUGGUAGAUUGUUUCCUUUUUCAUGCUGCUCAUCACUUUCUUCAAGAUCUUCCUCACCGAUAUCCUCAAGGAACGCUCUCUUGUGCAACACUGGCUCCUCCUCUUCUACUACGCAUUGGUCUGCUGUGUUUGUGACAAAUAUUGUGUUUAAGUCUAUCGGCCCAUAGUCUUCAAGCCUCCUUCUUAUUUGUCGCUCUCGGAGGUUUAAAUUAUAAUGAACGUACACUAGUUUAUGAAGCUUCUCAGAAGCAAGUCGAUUCCUCCUAGUAGUGUGCAACCAUUGGAACGUACUCCAAUUGCGCUUACAGCCAGUAGCAGAACAUGUCUGGGAGAGCACCUUGAUUGCUAUCCUCUUUAAGUGAGGUGCAUCAAUACCAUAUAUCUCCCACCAUUCAGCUAGAUUAAAAUACAAAAAGCAUGGUAAGGGCAAGAACAAUUCAUAAGAUUAAGUAUAUGAAUGAAUAAAAUAUUAGCGAGGGGAUAACCUGGAUCCAUCAUAGUUCGAGAAUUCUUGGCAAGUCUAGUUCCGAAGGAUCCCAUAGUAUCCCUAUACAUCGCAAGCUAAAACAAAUAUAUUACGUUUUAGUGCAUUAUUCCUCACAAAUAUAACAACUCAAUGAAGUUCUUACCCAAACAUUAAAUAAUACCUCUUGUAGUGCUGCUAUUUGGUUUCGAUGGCUUCUCUCCAACCUUGCAAUAAUGUAUCUGACUCCUUCCAUAAUCUUGUGGGGAUGUUCAGGUAUCAAAUAGAAAAUUUUUGGGUUGAAGUAGUAACCUACAAAAUAUAUAGAUAGAAAAAUGUCAUUUACAAUUUCAUAAAAAAAUGAUUUAAAAUGAAACACUAUAAUGAUAUAAAUAUAUAUUUACCAGCAUAAUGAAUUGGACGUCCAAAUUUAGUGUUCCACCUCCUUUCUAUAAUCUCGAUCACUUUGCUAACAAAACUACACUUCUCCUCAAUAGCUGGUUUUGCCCUCUCAAUAUCUUGAUAAAGGAUACCCAUGGUACCUUUCUUGUCAGCAUCCACUAUUCUUAACACCGUGACCAAAGGGGUAGUGGCCUCUACAACACUGAAACAUCGAGACCAGAACCGCCUAUUUGAGACUAUGUUGUCCACUUUUAUACCGGUACUGGACUUCGAGAGGUGGUCAUUUAACCACUCUUCACAGGUAAACAAUCUCUUUAAUGCACUUUCAGAUUCUCGAAUAGAGUCUAUAGCUAAGUAAUCAGUUGCAAAGCAGGUCAUGGCAAGCUUGAUUAUCUCUUUUUUCUUAGAGUGUUCUCUAAACAGAAAUAAAAUUUUAGAGUGGUUGUAUCUAAAUCUCGACACCAACCUUGCUUCCUCUAGAGUCUCCUUCACAAUUUUAAUCGAGUCUCCUUCACAAUUUUAAUCUCACCGAUCUCCUCUAACAUAAGAUCGAUGCUGUGUGCAGCACACGGGGUCCAUACUAGAUGUUUCCUCUUAUCCAUCAACUUGCUGCCCGCAGAAACACAUGCACGCGCAUUGUCUGUAAUAAACUGGACUACAUGCUUAUCUCCCACCUCCUCCACUAUCUGAUCAUAUAGUCGUACGUAGAAGUUUGCAUCAUUUUUUGUCUUUGAUACUUCUUUGCUAGACAAAAAAGCUGUACUUUUUGGGGAAUAGGCCAAGAAGUUUAAAAACUCCUUUUUGCUAACUUUAUUCAACCAACCAUCACUCAUGAGAGUAAUGCUUGUCCUUGACCAACUCUGUUUAUAUUCUUCAAUCCACGUUGUAACUUCCCCCACUUCUUCAUCUAAUAGUGGCCCAUUGAGCUCAUAUGUCGUCGGGGGUUUUACCCCGGGCCCGACUCUCUGGAUUGCACUGACCAUAGGUGGAAAACAUGGGCUAUUGGCUGCAUCAAAGGGAAUCCCUUUAUCAUAGAACCAUUUACCAACAUAUCUCCCCAACAUAUUUCUUGUACCUUUAACCAUGCCUUUUAGGAUCAUCUGUUGUGACUUAGGCUUUGAGAGAAAUGGGUCUUUACGACCAUGACCUGCAAUACUGGCACUCCUAGGUAACCUAAAAACAAUUUCUUCAACAUCUGAUUCUCCUUGAUACAUAUUGCCACCAACCCCUCCAUACAUAUUUGAGCUGGGCCCGCCAUAUGCUCGAGCUGGACCCACCAUGCAUGUCUGAGCUAGGCCCACCAUGACAUGUCUGANNNNNNNNNNNNNNNNNNNNUGCAUUAACAACAGAUUAAAAAAAUGCAGUUUUGCAUUAAAAAUAUAACAACAUGCAUUUUUUUUGCAUAAAUAAUCUAUCAACAUACAAUUUUUUCAACAAAAACUUUAACAAUAAAAAAUUUAAAUAUGGUUUAAUACCUCAUGAUAAUUAAAACCUUGUCCCGAUUUUCACAUCUUUUCGGAAAAUCAUCAUUUUUCCAAAAAUUCGAUCUUGGAAAAAAAAAAAAAGUACAACAAACUCAAACAAUAAAAAUUUAAAAUUGGGUUUAAUACAUCAUGAUAAUCAAAACCUUAUCACGAUUUUCACAUCUUUUCGAAAAAUCAUCAUUUUUCAAAAAAUUCGAUCAUGGAUAAAAAAAAAAAAAAAAUACAGCAAAUUUUCAAAAAAUUCGAUCAAUGAUUACAAAAAAAAAAUUCAAUCAUGGAUUAAAAAAAAAAAUUAACAAAUUUUCAAAAAAUUCGAUCAUUGAUUACAAAAAAAAAUUCGAUCAUGGAUUAAAAAAAAAAAAUCACAAAGUUUCAAAAAAUUUGAUCAUGGAUUACAUAAAAUUCGAUCAUGGAUUACAUAAAAUUCGAUCAUGGAUUACAUAAAAUUCGAUCAUGGAUUAUAGAAAAAAAAAGAACAAAAAAUUCGAUCAUGGAUUACAAACAAAGAAAAAAACAAUUCGAUCAUGUAUUACAAAAAAUUCAAUCAUGGAUUACAAAAAACUCUAUCAUGGGUUACAAAAAAAAAAAAAACAAAAAAUUCGAUCAUGGAUUACAAAAAAAAAAACAAACAUUUCGAUCAUGGAUUACAAAAAAUUCGAUCAUGGAUUACAAAAAAUUCUAUCAUGGGUUACAAAAAAACAAAAAAUUCGAUCAUGGAUUACAAAAAAAAAAAAACAAUUCGAUCAUGGAUUACAAAAAAAUAAAAUAAAAUAUGUUCUUCACGGAGCCAUCUUACAUAAGCCAUUUUAACUCAAAAAUCCACCUCUAAGAUAAUAAAUUAUAUCCAAUUGAGUACAUUUUCUGAUAAACAACAACAUAAGGAAUCAAAACCCUAAAUUUUGAACACAUUAUCAUCAAUAAAUCAAAUCAAAUAGAUUAAAUUGAGCCAAAAAAAAAACACACGUAGUUCUUCACAGACAACAGUCUUUGAAUCUAAAAAAUGAAGCUCAAAUUGAAUAAAUCAGAUCAAAUUGAAUACAUCUAAUUAUAAACAACACUAUAGUGAUUAAAAACGCUAGAAAUCUAACACAUUAUUUGUAAUAUAUCAUGAACAAAAAAUCGAAAGGCGGAAAAAAAAAAAAAAAACAAGCAGAAGUGUUUUUUCACAGACAUCACUGUGUUCAUCUAAAAAAUCAUGUUGUAAUUGACCAAAUUAAAUAAAAUUGAAUAUGUUAAAUCAUAAUAGGCACAAUAAAGAUUAAAAACCCUACAAAUUGAACUCAUUAUCUUCAAAAUAUGCAGUGAAAUUAAUCAUAUGGUGGAAAAAAAAAAAACCCAAACUUCUUACCUGGUUUUGUGAACCCAAGUAGCUUUGUUUUUCUCAACGAUUAUCACAAAUUCGUAACAGAAAGUUUUGAUGAACAACUUUAUGAUCAAAAUGCCUACAAAUUUUGACAGAUUCAUGCUCUAUUUAGCAUGAAACACAAGGAGAGGCAGAAACCCUAAAAAUGCAACUUUCGUGAUCCAAAAACACAAAAUUUCUCAACUAUUUAAUCCAUGAAAAAGCUGUUUAAAGCCUGCAUAUUAGAUCACAUGCCAAAAAAAACAAGAAAAAUGGUCAAAAAAUGAUAAACUUUGAAGAAUCCCGUGAAGAACAUUGUGCAGCUCGUGUUCUUCACGGGACUCGUCGAUUCUGUACAGUGAAUCGACGAGUCACUGUACAGAAUCGCCUGGUUCUCUUUAGAACCAGGUGAUUACCGAUUUUUUGAACGAUUUGAGACGUCUAUGGCCGAUUCUCGAGUCGAACCGGGAGAGUCCGAUUCGACUCGACGGUUUUUUAAACACCGAAGGAAACACAACAUCUAAAAUUGUGUUUUCAAGCAUAUAAGCUUGAAGUUGUAGGAUAUUUAGAUGUAUAUUUUGCUGGGUAUAUGGAUGAUAGUAAAUCCACAUCAAGACAUAUUUUCCUCUUUAGAGGGGCAUCUAUUUCUUGGUUUAGUAAGAAACAAGGGUGUGUAGGAGGGUAUACACAUGAAGCAGAAUACAUUGCAUGUAGCACUGCUUGUACUUUCGUGCUCUGGAUAAAGUGUUUCAAAGAUAAUUUGAAGCUGCAAAAAAUCGACGGACCAAUCCAAAUAUUUUGUAAUAAUCAAGACGCAAUUAAAUUAAUUCAAAGUGGAGCAAAUAGCUCUAAAAGAAGACAUAUAUAUGUCCAACAUUACUACAUUUAGGAUGUAGUUGAGAAAGGUGAAGUAACCGUUAGUUACUUGCCCUUAUCAGAUAUGAUUGCUGAUCUAUUAACAAAUUGUCUAAGUGUUGAACUACUGUUUAAACACACUAGCUUAAUGAGACUUAAAAAUGUUUAAGUCAGACAGUUUUUCCUGAGUGAAAAAUCCACAUUAGCGUGAAAAUCCUCAUGAUAAACUAGCUUAAUGGGAUUUAAAAAAUGUUUAAGUCAGACAGUUUUCAUGAGUGAGAAAUCCGCAUUAGCGUGAAAAUCCUCAUGAUAGACGUUUGUUAUGAGAGACAUAUCCGCAAAAGUGUGAGAAAAGCCCCAUGACAAGAUAUUUUUUUAAAGAUCAUACUCAAAAGUGGGAGUAUGCAUGUGUCUUAUUAUGCUCGGCCGUCAUAGCCAAGUGGGAGAUGUUGGUCUUACGUGCCUUAGCCUAUAUAUAUGGGAAUUCCAUAUAUCCAACAGUUAUAUCAUAUGAAUAUAACUCUUCAUCCAACGGUCAUAUCCAUAUGGCCGUAACCCUUUAGAAACCCGUUGGAGAUCAAGGAACCCUUUCGUUUCUCAUAGACACGUUAGAGAAAUACAAUGAUUACCCCUUCUUAUCCCUAUAAAAUGGGAAGCCAGAGAGUGGAUGCAUACAACAAGGAAAAAAUGUACACCUCUCUAAAAGGCGAAAGGAUGAAAAUUCGAGCUCUGCGAUCGCCAACCUCAUGACAACCAUUCUCUGAUAUCGAGUUUGAUCUUAUACUAUCUUCAUCAAGUUUUGCUAACAAAAUCAUCGAAGGGCAAAUGUAAGUGGCUACUUUAGCAUCUGGCCGCACAACAUUACCAACAACUUGCGGAAAUCAGAGCAUGUAAAAGCACUGCAUGCCUCUAAAACUCACAAAACAAGAAUGCCUACGAAUCUUAGCUGGAAGCGGUACAGAGAGAAAGUGAGAAACAAUUAUUUAAAGGGAAAAUAUCUCCUUAUCCCCUAUUUUUAACUUACAUAUCUCAUGAAACCCAAAAAUUGAAAAUAUUACUUGCAAGCAAAAUGUCUCCAUCUUUGCUCUCUUACAAACCCUUGGACCAUGACCAUAAAUUUUUGACCUAAACAAACACUAAAAUGACAACAUAUUAAAACUCCAUCUCUCUUUAUUCGCUUCUCGAUGAGUUUACCAACGAAGGGGUUUAUCUUGAGCUCGAACACGAGCACAUCUUCUUAUGUGUGUGAGAGAGAUGGAGUUUUACAGAGAGAGAGAGAGAGAUGGAGUUUGGGUUUUAGAGAGAGAUGAAGUUUUAGAGUGAGAGAGAGAGAUGGAGUUUGAGUUUUAGGAAGAGAGAUGGAGUUUUGAG